UAGGGAAUCUUCGGCAAUGGGGGGAACCCUGACCGAGCAACGCCGCGUGAGUGAAGAAGGUUUUCGGAUCGUAAAGCUCUGUUGUUAAGGAAGAACGAGUGUGAGAAUGGAAAGUUCAUGCUGUGACGGUACUUAACCAGAAAGGGACGGCUAACUACGUGCCAGCAGCCGCGGUAAUACGUAGGUCCCGAGCGUUGUCCGGAUUUAUUGGGCGUAAAGCGAGCGCAGGCGGUUAGAAAAGUCUGAAGUGAAAGGCAGUGGCUCAACCAUUGUAGGCUUUGGAAACUGUUUAACUUGAGUGCAGAAGGGGAGAGUGGAAUUCCAUGUGUAGCGGUGAAAUGCGUAGAUAUCGGGAAGAACACCAAUGGCGAAGGCAGGUCUCUGGGCUGUUACUGACGCGGAGAAGCGAAAGCGUGGGGAGCGAACAGG
This 429-nucleotide ribosomal RNA is filed under the name Bacteroidota bacterium. Its description in RNAcentral is "Bacteroidetes bacterium partial 16S ribosomal RNA". It matches the Rfam family "Bacterial small subunit ribosomal RNA", at positions 355 to 776 of the family's 1533-position model. The record is from RNAcentral. Lineage: Bacteria; Pseudomonadati; Bacteroidota.